GACGAACGCUGGCGGCGUGCUUAACACAUGCAAGUCGAACGGUAAGGCUCCAGCUUUCUGGGGUACACGAGUGGCGCACGGGUGAGUAACACGUGUGUGACCUGCCCUGCACUUCGUGAUAAGCCUUGGAAACUGGGUCUAAUACCGGAUAGGACCGCACCGAGAGGGUGUGUUGGAAAGUUUUUUCGGUGUUGGAUGGACCCGCGGCGUAUGAGCUUGUUGGUGGGGUAAUGGCCUACCAAGGCAACGACGGGGAGCCGGCCUGAGAGGGUGGCCGGCCACACUGGAACUGAGACACGGCCCAGACGCCGACGGGAGGCAGCAGUAGGGAAUCGUCCGCAAUGGGCGAAAGCCGGACGGAGCAACGCCGCGUGAGUGAUGAAGGUCUUCGGAGCGUAAAACUCUGUUAUUAGGGAAGAACAAAUGUGUAAGUAACUAUGCACGUCUUGACGGGACCUAAUCAGAAAGCCACGGCUAACUACGUG
This 485-nucleotide ribosomal RNA is filed under the name uncultured bacterium. RNAcentral's name for it is "partial 16S ribosomal RNA". It matches the Rfam family "Bacterial small subunit ribosomal RNA", at positions 28 to 507 of the family's 1533-position model. The record is from RNAcentral.